GCCGCGGGAGGCGGAGGCGCUGUGGCUCUGGGAAGGCUGAAAAGGGAGGGCUGCAAAGGAGAAGAGCUUCGAGUCCUUUCCAUCAGGAGAGCACUGGAGGAGCACUGCUCAGGAGUCAGAAAGUGGAGUCUGGGCGUGACCUUGCACCUGACCAGCCUGGGGCUCCAGGUCCGCCGCAUCUGGACUAAUCUCCUGUGUCCUGAGCUCCCAGGACCCCAGAGGCAAGCAUGGAGAGGCCAGGCUGGCAGAUUGAAGUCACAGAGAAAGGCAGGAAAACUUCCUGGCUUAGGUUUCCAAAGGCCUCUGGGGGAUGAGGAGAACCCACAGUGGCUUAGGACGAGCUCCUGCACAGCGGCCUGUUUCCCAAUUGCAUCAUGUAUCUCUUUGCCUCUCUUGGCUCAGCCCUGGCCCUAUCCCCAGGCCAUCCAAGGGGCAGCCUGGUGAGGUUUCCUCAGCUUUGCUAAUGACUUGACCUACAGUCUUAAGUCA
RNAcentral lists this non-coding RNA (489 nucleotides) under Pongo abelii (Sumatran orangutan). The record is from RNAcentral. Lineage: Eukaryota; Metazoa; Chordata; Mammalia; Primates; Hominidae.